Molecule: long non-coding RNA, 982 nt
Filed under: Struthio camelus australis
Lineage: Eukaryota; Metazoa; Chordata; Aves; Struthioniformes; Struthionidae
Description: lncRNA (ENSSCUG00000001764.1)
Source: RNAcentral
UUAAGAGAGAGAGAGGAUAAACAUCAAAAUAGCUUCUCAUUGGAAAGACUGUGGAAUAAUCUAAUACGUGAAGACACGGAAGUCCGAAACAAAUGUAGUAUAAAUUCCUUCCCAGAGUCUUUGCAGAUACAAGCAUCGGCCACAAUUAACUUCAGAAGCUGAAUAUUUCUAAGCAACUGGUAUCAGCUUCCAGAAGAAGCUGGGGGCAGGGGGAGAGGCAGGUUAAAAGGGAUAGUUUCCAGAUAAUUCGGUGUUAACACUCAUUCAAAAGCAUGUAAGGGGAGGAGACAAAAGAACACUUUUAUUUUCAGUUCGGUGUGUGAAGUGAGCACACUGGAACCCCCCAAAAGUGCAGUUCUGGCAAUCUAGACAGUAGCCUGUUCCUGGAUGGAUAGUUUUCCGGUCGAGACAGAUAGUUGGUUUAAAUCUGCCUCAGGUCUGAAGUGACUGGAAAUCAACACCAGAUAAUGGCUGUUUGGUAGAUGAUGUGACAUGGGUUAAUGCACUCGGCCAAAUUUCUACUGGAUAUUGGACAUGCGCUCACAUUACAAAUGCUUCCAACAGCAUGCUCAGUAUUAAAUUAACAUCUAUGCUGACAAUCUUGCCAAAGAAAUCCAGAAGAGGAUGGACAUUAGUGAUGAACUGCACGUUCACCUUUGGAGUGAAGUCAUUAGCAAGCUUUCGUCAUGUGGCUGGAGCCAACUCUCCCGAAUUUGCAAAGAUCGACAGCUCCAGAGCUCACUGGGCCCCAUCCAACGCUCACAGGCCGUGAUGGAGGCAUUUCCAUGGAGCCGGACAGACGGUGGAUCACGACCCGGACUCAGGAGCAUAACUACAUUUCAUCAUUUUUGGAUGCAUGCCCCCAAUAUUUUGGACCUCCAUGGGGCAGAAGCCACUGAGACUGCAUCUAAUUGAGACUACUGAACUGCAAAACAGUGUCGGCACAGCGUCAUUUACACGUGGAAAUGGAGCAAGCUGAGAU